Molecule: long non-coding RNA, 1193 nt
Organism: Rhineura floridana
Lineage: Eukaryota; Metazoa; Chordata; Lepidosauria; Squamata; Rhineuridae
Exons: 3
Source: RefSeq, a predicted model, not a curated record
CGGAUGCAGCUCCUUCCCAGCACCGCGGGGUUUGGCCUCCGGGGAUGACGGCGAGACUCUCGGGACCUUGCCUUCUCCUUCUCCGCCCUCAACCAAUAUCUGCGCUGCGCCCAUCCUCACCGGCACCUGUCCCUCGAGGCCUGCCGAGGAGAACUGUACGGCCCCGGCGGGCAGGCCAAACCGGGCUUGAGUCUCGCUUCCUUAACCCUCACUCCACCCUCGGUAACUUACUCCCAGUGUCAGCACCUACAGCCGGUGCCCUUCCUCCGGCCGCGGCCCUCGUUUUUCCCCCCGCCACUCGCCGCAUGGACAGCGGCGGCUUCUCCUCAGCGCCCGUCCUCUAGUAUCGCACAGGCAGGGAGCUGCGGAGUGGCCUCCACAGUCACAAGGCGAAGGAGGCGGCGGCAGCAACAAACAAACAACUAAAACAGACCAGCGGUUCGACGUUCUGCAGCUCGCGCCACUUUCGUUUGGGUUCUCUAGCUCGCGCGCCCAACGGACUGCGCUCGCGCUUCCUGUGUCCCCGGCGGGCUACGAAACGUACUGACAACAACAGCGGCUCGCUUGCAGUCAGAGGAGCAGAAGGAGGAGGGAAAGGAAACGCAGGAUAGGGAGGAGCAUCGAAAGAGAAAGAGACUUGGACUGGACAGCCCUUCAAACAGAGGACUGUACUCUGGCAACCCUUCAAGUAGGACACAUGGCCACCCUGCCUGCUUUGCUCAUUUUCUGCUUACAAUUGUAAACCUGCAAGGAUUAUCUUGCUUCUGUUGAGUUUAUGUGAGCUGUUCUGGGCAGCUUGGAUCUUUUUUGGCUGAAGAAUGGGGUAAAAAUGCAUUGAACAAACAAAACGUAGUCCGUUUGGUAUUUCCAUCACACGUCAACAGAAAUAUGGAUACAAUAUCUUCAUUCCAUGCAAGCCAUCUUAACCUUCAAUAGCAGUUGGUUGUUAAUACAUUAGUACAUAGUGUCUCAGUAUGUCAGCCAAUGAAGUUAAACAUUUUCAGGAGUGGUGGAGUGAUAGAUACGGAGAAAUGCAGAGUGGCUGACGAUGAGAAAUAUACUGAUAGUUGAAAUGUGUAGCAAAAACUGUAACUACAACUUCCUUGUUGCCAAUAGAAGUUAUCUACUUGUUGAAAGGUGAAUGGCUAUCCAGCAGCAAAAGGACAUUCAUCCAGACAACAAUAGCUUCUCGG